Molecule: transfer RNA, 68 nt
Filed under: bovine gut metagenome
Rfam family: tRNA
About the family: Transfer RNA (tRNA) molecules are approximately 80 nucleotides in length. Their secondary structure includes four short double-helical elements and three loops (D, anti-codon, and T loops).
Source: RNAcentral
GGUGUAGCUCAGCUUGGCUAGAGCGCCUGGUUUGGGACCAGGAGGUCGCAGGUUCGAAUCCUGUCACC